This is a long non-coding RNA of Anopheles coluzzii, 1496 nucleotides long. RefSeq lists it as uncharacterized. The record is from RefSeq and is a predicted model, not a curated record. The transcript is spliced from 4 exons. Lineage: Eukaryota; Metazoa; Arthropoda; Insecta; Diptera; Culicidae.
GUCUUUUUCUAAGUGUCUAGUGCUAUGUGACAUUUAUUCUAAUUCUAAUAUUAUUCUAAUAUGCAAUGUUUUGCACAUUACAAGUUUCAGAUGUGUGCUGCUACCGCUAGCUGUUCCUCAAACUACUUAAAAAGUGUGACACUGUGUGCACAGGCGUUCAAGUUUCAAUUGAUCCUCAAGCACAAAGCCUUCAUACAACACCGCGGUUGAGGCGCGCCAAAUCUGAUGACAUCUUUCCUGAACCAAGCAGGCUGAACACGCGCACCACCACGGGCUCCAGCGCGGUGUGAAGAGGGAAGAAGAAAAGACAGAAUUGGAAACAGCCGCGCCAGGCUUCCAACCACCGUGUGUGUGUAUGUAAGUAUGUGAGAACACAUGUGUGAAUCCUCUUGUGGGAACUGCAAAAAGAAGAGAAUAAAGAGUGUGAAGCAGCUAGACUGCCGCAACCAAAUCAAGAGAGUGAAUUCUCAUUUCAAUCCGAAAAACUGGGAGAGAGUGAUGACAUGCGAGAGAGAAUAAAACUAGAAACACGAGAGAGGACACGAAGCGCUUUCGGGUUGUUUUCGCCUUCGCGCACAUUUUGCUUUAUGCGCGCGAAAAAGUGAGCCUUGAUCAGCGCGAUGGCUCCCAUACAAAGGCCUUCGGCUUUGCUAUCUCCCAAGUAGCAGAGCCGAAGUUUUUCAGAGAUUUUUCUGUGUGCCAAAGCGAGAUGCCCUGUCUUCUCUCUCUAGAUUUUGGACAGCAAACCGCUGCGCGUGUAGAGGUGUGUGCGUGUGACGAACAACGAUGGAUGAAAAACGCGAGGAGCGGGGUCCGAAGUCUUUCGUUGGUCACACACACAUGCAUUUACCAGCGGAUAUCGCUGGACCGAGUCUACCCAUCCCUCUCGAUCCACCAUGAUUUUUCUGCUAUCGCGCUCAUCCGGGUGUUAGGCAUCCUCAGUCUGUCCAGAACUUUCCCUGUGGAAGGAUGUACUGAAGUGAGGUGCGAUUUCUUGUGUCCCCUACUUUCCUUAUUUACGUUUUGCGCAGUGUUGCUUCUUCUUCCAUUGUGGAAUGAUUUAUCUUAGCAAAUUGUUGAGUUACAGGUGCAUGCGCCAUUCAUCAACGCCUACCUGUUGGCAUCAUCAACAAUCUUUAUAGUAGGUGACGGAAAUAAAUUGUUUUCCAGUUUUAAAAUAUUAAGCGUUCAGCACAACUCAGCCACAAAACAACGCACUGGAUUGCGCUAAGAACCUGUCGAAACGCGCGCAGCCCCCGGGAGCGGUAGGAGAAAGGAAGAACGAGAGGAGAAAAAACUAAAGCCAGCGCGCAGCUCUGAUGGUACCCCGUACGCGGUAAGAAGAAAAAAGAUCGAGAGGAGGAAUAACGGUAAAUUUGGAAGGGGGAGACCGUUCUGCCGUCUCCACAGUGUGAGUAUGCCAAAGCACGUGUUGGAAGGGAGAGAAAAAGUGUGGAAUAAACCGCAUGCGAAUGUGUGCAUACAGCAAAAGUAAA